RNAcentral lists this ribosomal RNA (634 nucleotides) under uncultured Oscillibacter sp. Its description in RNAcentral is "bacterial SSU rRNA". It matches the Rfam family "Bacterial small subunit ribosomal RNA", at positions 897 to 1533 of the family's 1533-position model. Lineage: Bacteria; Bacillati; Bacillota; Clostridia; Eubacteriales; Oscillospiraceae. The record is from RNAcentral.
AAACUCAAAUGAAUUGACGGGGGCCCGCACAAGCGGUGGAUUAUGUGGUUUAAUUCGAAGCAACGCGAAGAACCUUACCAGGACUUGACAUCCUACUAACGAGGUAGAGAUACGUCAGGUGCCCUUCGGGGAAAGUAGAGACAGGUGGUGCAUGGUUGUCGUCAGCUCGUGUCGUGAGAUGUUGGGUUAAGUCCCGCAACGAGCGCAACCCUUAUUGUUAGUUGCUACGCAAGAGCACUCUAGCGAGACUGCCGUUGACAAAACGGAGGAAGGUGGGGACGACGUCAAAUCAUCAUGCCCCUUAUGUCCUGGGCUACACACGUAAUACAAUGGCGGUCAACAGAGGGAUGCAAAGCCGUGAGGUGGAGCGAACCCCUAAAGCCGUCUCAGUUCGGAUCGCAGGCUGCAACUCGCCUGCGUGAAGUCGGAAUCGCUAGUAAUCGCGGAUCAGAAUGCCGCGGUGAAUACGUUCCCGGGCCUUGUACACACCGCCCGUCACACCAUGAGAGUCGGGAACACCCGAAGUCCGUAGCCUAACAGCAAUGAGGGCGCGGCCGAAGGUGGGUUUGAUAAUUGGGGUGAAGUCGUAACAAGGUAGCCGUAUCGGAAGGUGCGGCUGGAUCACCUCCUUUAU